This 468-nucleotide ribosomal RNA is filed under the name uncultured bacterium. RNAcentral's name for it is "partial 16S ribosomal RNA". It matches the Rfam family "Bacterial small subunit ribosomal RNA", at positions 28 to 507 of the family's 1533-position model. The record is from RNAcentral.
GACGAACGCUGGCGGCGUGCUUAACACAUGCAAGUCGAACGGAAAGGCCCUGCUUUUGUGGGGUGCUCGAGUGGCGAACGGGUGAGUAACACGUGAGUAACCUGCCCUUGACUUUGGGAUAACUUCAGGAAACUGGGGCUAAUACCGGAUAGGAGCUCCUGCUGCAUGGUGGGGGUUGGAAAGUUUCGGCGGUUGGGGAUGGACUCGCGGCUUAUCAGCUUGUUGGGGGGGUAGUGGCUUACCAAGGCUUUGACGGGUAGCCGGCCUGAGAGGGUGACCGGCCACAUUGGGACUGAGAUACGGCCCAGACUCCUACGGUGGGCAGCAGUGGGGAAUAUUGCACAAUGGGCGGAAGCCUGAUGCAGCAACGCCGCGUGCGGGAUGACGGCCUUCGGGUUGUAAACCGCUUUCGCCUGUGACGAAGCGUGAGUGACGGUAAUGGGUAAAGAAGCACCGGCUAACUACGUG